Molecule: ribosomal RNA, 468 nt
Filed under: uncultured bacterium
Lineage: Bacteria
Description: partial 16S ribosomal RNA
Rfam family: Bacterial small subunit ribosomal RNA
Source: RNAcentral
GACGAACGCUGGCGGCGUGCUUAACACAUGCAAGUCGAACGGAAAGGCCCUGCUUUUGUUGCUUGCUCGAUUGGCGAACGGGUGAGUAACACGUGAGUAACCUGCCCUUGACUUUGUGAUAACUUCUGGAAACUGGGGCUAAUACCGGAGAGGAUCUCUUGCUGCAUGGUGGGGGUUGGAAAGUUUCGGCUGUGGGGGAUGGUCUCGCUGCUUAUCAGCUUGUUUGUGGGGUAGUGGCUUACCAAGGCUUUGACGGGUAGCCUGCCUGAGAGGGUGACCGGCGACAUUGGGACUGAGAGACGGAGCAGUAUGCUACGGGACGCAGCAGUCGGGAAUAUGGCACAAUGGGCGGAAGCGUGAUGCAGAAAUGUCGCGUGCGGGAUGACGGGCUUCGGGGUGUAAACAGCUUUCGACGGUGACGAAGCGUGCGUGACGGUAACUGGUCAAGAAGCAACGGCUAACUACGUG